RNAcentral lists this ribosomal RNA (436 nucleotides) under uncultured bacterium. Its description in RNAcentral is "bacterial SSU rRNA". It matches the Rfam family "Bacterial small subunit ribosomal RNA", at positions 954 to 1392 of the family's 1533-position model. The record is from RNAcentral.
AUGGGAACGCGAAGAACCUUACCCAGACUUGACAUCUCCUGAAUAGUGUAGAGAUACAUGAAGCCCUUCGGGGCAGGAAGACAGGUGGUGCAUGGUUGUCGUCAGCUCGUGUCGUGAGAUGUUGGGUUAAGUCCCGCAACGAGCGCAACCCUUAUUACUAGUUGCUACCAUUAAGUUGAGCACUCUAGUGAGACUGCCCGGGUUAACCGGGAGGAAGGCGGGGAUGACGUCAAAUCAUCAUGCCCCUUAUGUCUAGGGCAACACACGUGCUACAAUGGUGAGUACAGAUAGAUGCGAUACCGCAAGGUGGAGCCAAACUCUAAAACUCAUCCCAGUUCGGAUUGUAGGCUGCAACUCGCCUACAUGAAGUUGGAGUUGCUAGUAAUCGCGAAUCAGAAUGUCGCGGUGAAUACGUUCCCGGGUCUUGUACACACCG